GGUGCUGAACCUUUUCCCUAAAAAAUCCCUGACCAGCUGCAGUUGUCAUGGAUAUUAAAAAUACUCAUUAACUCACUGACAUUAAAUAAUGCUGAAUAAAUACUGAAACUGAUGUUUGACUAUUAAAAUAUCCUAGCAGUUCAAGACCUUGAGGUUCAUCAGAUUUUAGCUUUGUCAACCUGGCCACUCUGUUAUUAAUACACAACACACCAUCAUCAUACACAACACAGAAAAAUAAUGGCUUAUUUAAAUAAUUUCAGGU
Molecule: non-coding RNA, 262 nt
Organism: Paramuricea clavata
Lineage: Eukaryota; Metazoa; Cnidaria; Anthozoa; Malacalcyonacea; Plexauridae
Source: the annotation of a GenBank genome assembly